GAAUUCGCCCUUAGAGUUUGAUCCUGGCUCAGGACGAACGCUGGCGGCGCGCCUAACACAUGCAAGUCGAACGAGCGAGAGGAGGUUUACUUUCUCAAGCGAGUGGCGAACGGGUGAGUAACGCGUGAGGAACCUGCCUCAAAGAGGGGGACAACAGUUGGAAACGACUGCUAAUACCGCAUAAGCCCACGACCCGGCAUCGGGUAGAGGGAAAAGGAGCAAUCCGCUUUGAGAUGGCCUCGCGUCCGAUUAGCUAGUUGGUGAGGUAAUGGCCCACCAAGGCGACGAUCGGUAGCCGGACUGAGAGGUUGAACGGCCACAUUGGGACUGAGACACGGCCCAGACUCCUACGGGAGGCAGCAGUGGGGAAUAUUGCACAAUGGGGGAAACCCUGAUGCAGCGACGCCGCGUGGAGGAAGAAGGUCUUCGGAUUGUAAACUCCUGUUGUUGAGGAAGAUAAUGACGGUACUCAACAAGGAAGUGACGGCUAACUACGUGCCAGCAGCCGCGGUAAAACGUAGGUCACAAGCGUUGUCCGGAAUUACUGGGUGUAAAGGGAGCGCAGGCGGGAAGACAAGUUGGAAGUGAAAUCCAUGGGCUCAACCCAUGAACUGCUUUCAAAACUGUUUUUCUUGAGUAGUGCAGAGGUAGGCGGAAUUCCCGGUGUAGCGGUGGAAUGCGUAGAUAUCGGGAGGAACACCAGUGGCGAAGGCGGCCUACUGGGCACCAACUGACGCUGAGGCUCGAAAGUGUGGGUAGCAAACAGGAUUAGAUACCGUGGGUAGUCCACACUGUAAACGAUGAUUACUAGGUGUUGGAGGAUUGACCCCUUCAGUGCCGCAGUUAACACAAUAAGUAAUCCACCUGGGGAGUACGACCGCAAGGUUGAAACUCAAAGGAAUUGACGGGGGCCCGCACAAGCAGUGGAGUAUGUGGUUUAAUUCGACGCAACGCGAAGAACCUUACCAAGUCUUGACAUCCUGCGACGCACAUAGAAAUAUGUGUUUCCUUCGGGACGCAGAGACAGGUGGUGCAUGGUUGUCGUCAGCUCGUGUCGUGAGAUGUUGGGUUAAGUCCCGCAACGAGCGCAACCCUUAUGGUCAGUUACUACGCAAGAGGACUCUGGCCAGACUGCCGUUGACAAAACGGAGGAGGGUGGGGAUGACGUCAAAUCAUCAUGCCCUUUAUGACUUGGGCUACACACGUACUACAAUGGCGUUAAACAAAGAGAAGCAAGACCGCGAGGUGGAGCAAAACUCAGAAACAACGUCCCAGUUCGGACUGCAGGCUGCAACUCGCCUGCACGAAGUCGGAAUUGCUAGUAAUCGCAGAUCAGCAUGCUGCGGUGAAUACGUUCCCGGGCCUUGCACACACCGCCCGUCA
RNAcentral lists this ribosomal RNA (1383 nucleotides) under uncultured bacterium. RNAcentral describes it as "bacterial SSU rRNA". It matches the Rfam family "Bacterial small subunit ribosomal RNA". The record is from RNAcentral.